Papaver somniferum (opium poppy) is the source of this 108-nucleotide small nucleolar RNA. RefSeq annotates it as small nucleolar RNA Z279/snoR105/snoR108. The transcript has a single exon. NCBI's taxonomy places the organism in Eukaryota, Viridiplantae, Streptophyta, Magnoliopsida, Ranunculales, Papaveraceae. The record is from RefSeq and is a predicted model, not a curated record.
GGAAAAUGCUGAGUGGUCAAAACUCGCAUUGUAUGCGAGAGGCGGGUGUCCAGCCUAAGCCUGGUUACGACAAUAUGGGCUCUCCCCUUUUGUUACCCAUCUGAUCCC